Molecule: ribosomal RNA, 301 nt
Filed under: uncultured bacterium
Lineage: Bacteria
Description: partial 16S ribosomal RNA
Rfam family: Bacterial small subunit ribosomal RNA
Source: RNAcentral
CAGUCGCCGCGGGAAUACGUAGGUGGCAAGCGUUGUCCGGAAUUAUUGGGCGUAAAGGGCUCGCAGGCGGUUUCUUAAGUCUGAUGUGAAAGCCCCCGGCUCAACCGGGGAGGGUCAUUGGAAGCUGGGAAACUUGAGUGCAGAAGAGGAGAGUGGAAUUCCACGUGUAGCGGUGAAGUGCGUAGAGAUGUGGAGGAACACCAGUGGCGAAGGCGACUCUCUGGUCUGUAACUGACGCUGAGGAGCGAAAGCGUGGGGAGCGAACAGGAUUAGAUACCCCUGUAGUCCCUGUCUCUUAUAC